UACAGAGGGUGCGAGCGUUAAUCGGAGUUACUGGGCGUAAAGGGCGCGUAGGCGGUUUAAUAAGAUUGAUGUGAAAUCCCUGGGCUUAACCUAGGAACUGCAUCGAUGACUGUUAAGCUAGAGUAUUGUAGAGGGUAGUGGAAUUUCCGGUGUAGCGGUGAAAUGCGUAGAGAUCGGAAGGAACACCAGUGGCGAAGGCGGCUACCUGGACAAAUACUGACGCUGAGGCGCGAGAGCGUGGGGAGCAAACAGG
RNAcentral lists this ribosomal RNA (253 nucleotides) under uncultured bacterium. Its description in RNAcentral is "partial 16S ribosomal RNA". It matches the Rfam family "Bacterial small subunit ribosomal RNA", at positions 524 to 776 of the family's 1533-position model. The record is from RNAcentral.